GUGCUUACUUCAACAGCAUGUAUACUAAAACUGGAAUGAUAUAGAAAAGAUUAGCAUGACCACUGUGAAAGGAUGACGUGCAAAUUCAUGUAUCAUGCCAUAAUUUU
This is a small nuclear RNA of Pteronotus mesoamericanus, 107 nucleotides long. NCBI's taxonomy places the organism in Eukaryota, Metazoa, Chordata, Mammalia, Chiroptera, Mormoopidae. The record is from RefSeq and is a predicted model, not a curated record.